Molecule: ribosomal RNA, 1488 nt
Filed under: uncultured bacterium
Lineage: Bacteria
Description: partial 16S ribosomal RNA
Rfam family: Bacterial small subunit ribosomal RNA
Source: RNAcentral
AGAGUUUGAUCCCUGGCUCAGAUUGAACGCUGGCGGAAUGCUUUACACAUGCAAGUCGAACGGCAGCAUAGAGAGCUUGCUCUCUGAUGGCGAGUGGCGAACGGGUGAGUAAUAUAUCGGAACGUACCUAGUAAUGGGGAACAACCAAUCGAAAGGUUGGCUAAUACCGCAUACGACCUACGGGUGAAAGCAGGGGAUCUUCGGACCUUGCGUUAUUAGAGCGGCCGAUAUCUGAUUAGGUAGUUGGUGGGGUAAAGGCCUACCAAGCCGACGAUCAGUAGCUGGUCUGAGAGGACGAUCAGCCACACUGGAACUGAGACACGGUCCAGACUCCUACGGGAGGCAGCAGUGGGGAAUUUUGGACAAUGGAGGAAACUCUGACCCAGCCAUGCCGCGUGCAGGAAGACGGCCCUAUGGGUUGUAAACUGCUUUUGUACGAGAAUAAACCUUUCCACGUGUGGAAAGCUGAAGGUACCGUACGAAUAAGGAUCGGCUAACUUCGUGCCAGCAGCCGCGGUAAUACGGAGGAUCCAAGCGUUAUCCGGAUUUAUUGGGUUUAAAGGGUCCGUAGGCGGGUCUUUAAGUCAGUGGUGAAAGCCUGCAGCUUAACUGUAGAAUUGCCAUUGAUACUGGAGGCCUUGAGUGUAGUAGAAGUAGGCGGAAUAAGGCAUGUAGCGGUGAAAUGCAUAGAUAUGCCUUAGAACACCGAUUGCGAAGGCAGCUUACUAUGUUACAACUGACGCUGAGGGACGAAAGCGUGGGGAGCGAACAGGAUUAGAUACCCUGGUAGUCCACGCCGUAAACGAUGAUUACUCGCUGUUAGCGAUAUACAGUUAGCGGCCAAGCGAAAGCAUUAAGUAAUCCACCUGGGGAGUACGCCGGCAACGGUGAAACUCAAAGGAAUUGACGGGGGCCCGCACAAGCGGUGGAGCAUGUGGUUUAAUUCGAUGAUACGCGAGGAACCUUACCAGGGUUUAAAUGGGAAUUGACAGAUGCAGAAAUGUGUCCUUCUUCGGACAAUUUUCAAGGUGCUGCAUGGCUGUCGUCAGCUCGUGUCGUGAGAUGUUGGGUUAAGUCCCGCAACGAGCGCAACCCUUGUCAUUAGUUGCUACGAAAGGGCACUCUAAUGAGACUGCCGGUGACAAACCGGAGGAAGGUGGGGAUGACGUCAAGUCCUCAUGGCCCUUAUGGGUAGGGCUUCACACGUCAUACAAUGGUACAUACAGAGGGCCGCCAACCCGCGAGGGGGAGCUAAUCCCAGAAAGUGUAUCGUAGUCCGGAUUGUAGUCUGCAACUCGACUACAUGAAGUUGGAAUCGCUAGUAAUCGCGGAUCAGCAUGUCGCGGUGAAUACGUUCCCGGGUCUUGUACACACCGCCCGUCACACCAUGGGAGCGGGUUUUACCAGAAGUAGGUAGCUUAACCGCAAGGAGGGCGCUUACCACGGUAGGAUUCGUGACUGGGGUGAAGUCGUAACAAGGUAACCGUA